Molecule: ribosomal RNA, 501 nt
Filed under: uncultured bacterium
Lineage: Bacteria
Description: partial 16S ribosomal RNA
Rfam family: Bacterial small subunit ribosomal RNA
Source: RNAcentral
AUUGAACGCUGGCGGCAUGCCUUACACAUGCAAGUCGAACGGCAGCACGGGUGCUUGCACCUGGUGGCGAGUGGCGAACGGGUGAGUAAUACAUCGGAACGUACCUUAUCGUGGGGGAUAACGCAGCGAAAGUUGCGCUAAUACCGCAUACGCCCUGAGGGGGAAAGCGGGGGACCGUAAGGCCUCGCGCGAUUAGAGCGGCCGAUGUCUGAUUAGCUUGUUGGGGAGGUAAAAGCUCACCAAGGCGAUGAUCAGUAGCUGGUAUGAGAGGACGAGCAGCCACACGGGUACUGAGACACGGCCCAGACUCCUACGGGAGGCAGCAGUGGGGAAUUUUGGACAAUAGGGGCAACCCUGAUCCAGCAAUGCCGCGUGAGUGAAGAAGGCCUUCGGGUUGUAAAGCUCUUUUGUCAGGGAAGAAACAGCAGCUCUAACACAGUCUGCGAAUGACGGUACCUGAAGAAUAAGCACCGGCUAACUACGUGCCAGCCGCCGCAGUAA